GGCGGACGGGUGAGUAAUACAUAGGAAUCUGCCCUGUAGUGGGGGACAACUUAGGGAAACUUAAGCUAAUACCGCAUAAUCUCUACGGAGGAAAGGGGGCUUCGGCUCUCGCUAUUGGAUGAGCCUAUGUCUGAUUAGCUAGUUGGUAGGGUAAAGGCCUACCAAGGCAACGAUCAGUAGCUGGUCUGAGAGGAUGAUCAGCCACACUGGGACUGAGACACGGACCCG
RNAcentral lists this ribosomal RNA (228 nucleotides) under uncultured bacterium. Its description in RNAcentral is "partial 16S ribosomal RNA". It matches the Rfam family "Bacterial small subunit ribosomal RNA", at positions 97 to 334 of the family's 1533-position model. The record is from RNAcentral.